GGUUGUGUAGUGUAGUGGUUAUCACUUUGGAUUUUGAUUCGUAUCGAGUUUUCCAAUAACCCCGGUUCGAACCCGGGCACGACCU
Molecule: non-coding RNA, 85 nt
Organism: Dichotomopilus funicola
Lineage: Eukaryota; Fungi; Ascomycota; Sordariomycetes; Sordariales; Chaetomiaceae
Source: the annotation of a RefSeq genome assembly